UGGCAGUGGAUUGUUCCUUUGUCUCUCUGAUCUUUCAGCAUUUACUCCAAUAUCUGGCUCUGUGUUUUUUAUUAAAAAGACCAUUUAGUAAUUUGAGCAAUACUGUAUGUCCAGAUUUAGCUUAUAUAUGCUCUCAAAGUUAAGCCAAAACAACAUUUGUCUAAUUUAGAUGUACCUUACGGAUUUUGUUCCCCUGAUCCUCAAACACCUUUAGAAAUAUGAGAAUAUGGUAUUUAAUAUAAAAGCUUUUUAUGAUAGAGAGACAUGUCUUCUCCUGGCAACAUCCUGUAUCUCCUCCAAGGAGACUUCCACCUGGAGACUAGCUUCAGGUGUGACAGGGCCAGCCACAGAGAAAGCUGCUUUGUACCUUGAACUGCUGCUGCUGCUGAGACCUGUCCAGACUGUGACUAAGAGGAGCAAUGGGGAUCCAUUGUCCACCCUGCUGAGACAGGUAGGUCGAGCUCCCCAAAUUUCUACUCCACAGGGAAAAAAAAAUCUAUCAGAUCUUCUGGGCUUGGCACCUAGCUAAGGCAAAUACUGCUUCUGGGGCUUGUGUCCCCCAAAGAGCACGGAAAGACUUGCUGCCUGGGCGGCUGGAAGACGGUCUCACUUCUGCUUAUUUACUUAUCCUCUCGUAUCUGAUGGUAUUUCAUGACCAGGAUACCAAUAGACUUGCCAGUUUUACAGCUCUCCCCAACCCCAAGGCUACAAGCACCUUGACAGCUCUUAGGAAGUUUCCUGUUAAAAGGACAGACAGGUGUGCCUCAUUCACAGACUCCAUACAGGAAAGACUGGUUUAUAAAUGCAGUUUUGAUAGACUGGUAGAGCACUGACCACAAACAGUGUUUAGGGGUCCUUAAAUUUCUUAAGGAUUCUUAACCCUUUUGCUAUGACACCAAGAUAGAAGUCUGUUGCAGCUGUUUUACAGACACCUGCAGGUUCCUGCACAGGUGCACCCCUCCUGCUAGACGUGUGCCAAGGCCAAUCCACAGGGGGCCCUCCAGAUACGGCAGCCCCUAUACCAGCUCCAAGGAUGCCGACCGGGAUGGAUUCACCUCAACCUCCUGGGAAACAGAAGAUGUGAUGGCUCCUGUACUCCUGGGACACAUCAUCCCUCGAUUUGGUGUGCCAUUUCCCCAAGCUCCUAGAACAUCAGUGCUGGUACCACCCCUCCAGACUCAAGGGCAUAUCUGCUCUUCUGUAUGGCUCAUUCGCCCUUGCCUCUUCUGGACAACCAGGCACAUCUCCAUUUCAUUCUUUCUGGCAGCCACGUCACUUUUCCCAUGGCUAACCCUGCACAUAGGGCAGAUGUUAGUAAUCUGUUUUUCCUAGCAACCUACCUUCUCCAGGCAGAACUGUAGCCGUAGCAAAAAGACCUGAGCAGGAUGCUUCUCCCAACUGCCCCUGACCUUAGCCCUAGUUAUAGAGAGAACCAUGUACACCUCCCCCACAGGGAAAGGCCAAUCAGAAAUGGACAAGCAACUCCAGAUGUCCUUCUGCUGAGAUUAAAAUGUUGCAACUCCCCUAGACCCAAAAUAGCCAAUCAGCUCAGUCCAGAUACCCCUAACAGGGCUUGAGCCAAUCCCAGGUCUGUAACUAUGCAGUUUUGGAAUCCUCCAAGCCCUCCUUAUCUAGCCACUAUAAAAGCCCUGACCCCAUGCUACUCGAGGUCUCUCCUGCUGUGUCACUUGGAUGGAGAAGCCCGAGUUAACUCAUAUUAAAGACUAUGUUUUUGCACCA
Non-coding RNA from Peromyscus maniculatus bairdii (prairie deer mouse), 1740 nucleotides. The record is from RefSeq and is a predicted model, not a curated record. NCBI's taxonomy places the organism in Eukaryota, Metazoa, Chordata, Mammalia, Rodentia, Cricetidae.